CUUGACAUCCAGCGAAUUCGGUAGAGAUACCUUAGUGCCUUCGGGAACGCUGAGACAGGUGCUGCAUGGCUGUCGUCAGCUCGUGUUGUGAAAUGUUGGGUUAAGUCCCGCAACGAGCGCAACCCUUAUCCUUUGUUGCCAGCGGUCCGGCCGGGAACUCAAAGGAGACUGCCAGUGAUAAACUGGAGGAAGGUGGGGAUGACGUCAAGUCAUCAUGGCCCUUACGAGUAGGGCUACACACGUGCUACAAUGGCGCAUACAAAGAGAAGCGACCUCGCGAGAGCAAGCGGACCUCAUAAAGUGCGUCGUAGUCCGGAUUGGAGUCUGCAACUCGACUCCAUGAAGUCGGAAUCGCUAGUAAUCGUAGAUCAGAAUGCUACGGUGAAUACGUUCCCGGGCCUUGUACACACCGCCCGUCACACCAUGGGAGUGGGUUGCAAAAGAAGUAGGUAGCUUAACCUUCGGGAGGGCGCUUACCACUUUGUGAUUCAUGACUGGGGUGAAGUCGUAACAAGGUAGGCGUACGUGU
Molecule: ribosomal RNA, 529 nt
Filed under: uncultured bacterium
Lineage: Bacteria
Description: bacterial SSU rRNA
Rfam family: Bacterial small subunit ribosomal RNA
Source: RNAcentral